RNAcentral lists this ribosomal RNA (207 nucleotides) under uncultured bacterium. RNAcentral describes it as "partial 16S ribosomal RNA". It matches the Rfam family "Bacterial small subunit ribosomal RNA", at positions 568 to 774 of the family's 1533-position model. The record is from RNAcentral.
CACGCAGGCGGCCGGUCAAGUCUGAUGUGAAAGCUCCUGGCUUAACUGGGAGAGGUCGUUGGAAACUGAUCGGCUUGAGGUAGUGAGAGGGGUGCGGAAUUCCCGGUGUAGUGGUGGAAUGCGUAGAUAUCGGGAGGAACACCAGUGGCGAAAGCGGCACCCUGGCACUAUUCUGACGCUCAUGUGCGAAAGCGUGGGGAGCGAACG